GCCUGGGUGGCUCAGUCGGUUAAGCGUCUGACUUCAGCUCAGGUCAUGAUCGCGUGGUUCAUGGGUUCGAGCCCCGUGUCAGGCU
Molecule: transfer RNA, 85 nt
Filed under: Felis catus (domestic cat)
Lineage: Eukaryota; Metazoa; Chordata; Mammalia; Carnivora; Felidae
Rfam family: tRNA
About the family: Transfer RNA (tRNA) molecules are approximately 80 nucleotides in length. Their secondary structure includes four short double-helical elements and three loops (D, anti-codon, and T loops). Further hydrogen bonds mediate the characteristic L-shaped molecular structure. tRNAs have two regions of fundamental functional importance: the anti-codon, which is responsible for specific mRNA codon recognition, and the 3' end, to which the tRNAs corresponding amino acid is attached (by aminoacyl-tRNA synthetases). tRNAs cope with the degeneracy of the genetic code in two manners: having more than one tRNA (with a specific anti-codon) for a particular amino acid; and 'wobble' base-pairing, i.e. permitting non-standard base-pairing at the 3rd anti-codon position.
Source: Rfam by way of RNAcentral